CCCUUAGAUGUUCUGGGCCGCACGCGCGCUACACUGACGAAUGCAACGAGCUUAUAACCUUGGCCGAAAGGUCUGGGUAAUCUCCAAAUUUCGUCGUGAUGGGGAUAGAUUAUUGCAAUUAUUAAUCUUCAACGAGGAAUGCCUAGUAAGCGCAAGUCAUCAGCUUUCGUUGAUUACGUCCCUGCCCUUUGUACACACCGCCCGUCGCUCCUACCGAUUGAAUGGUCCGGUGAAGCGCUCGGACCGCGGCCUCUUGACGGUUUUCCGUCGAUUGGCUGUGGGAAGUUCGUUAAACCUUAUCAUUUAGAGGAAGGAGAAGUCGUAACA
Molecule: ribosomal RNA, 327 nt
Filed under: uncultured eukaryote
Lineage: Eukaryota
Description: partial 18S ribosomal RNA
Rfam family: Eukaryotic small subunit ribosomal RNA
Source: RNAcentral